Molecule: long non-coding RNA, 702 nt
Organism: Myotis daubentonii (Daubenton's bat)
Lineage: Eukaryota; Metazoa; Chordata; Mammalia; Chiroptera; Vespertilionidae
Source: RefSeq, a predicted model, not a curated record
CUCAGUGGCGCUUCCUGGUUGAACACAUCAGUGUGCCAGGAGGGGAUGUCUCCUGAUUUCCCGGGAGAGGCACGGAGGCUCUGUGCUCAGGAACCUCCCAGAUCCCAUCCUAUGUGUCUCUUUAUGUAGCUGGUCCUGAUUUCAUUUUUUAGAAUAAAACUGUAAUAAGAAGAAGUCCCUGUAGGGGCGGGAGGGAGAGAAAGAGAAGAAGAGAGAUUGAUCAGUUGCCUCUGGCAUGCGACCCAACUGGGGACUGAACUCCACAACCUAGGUUCCUGGCCUGUGCCCUUUUCGGCUACAUUCAAACCUAAGAUGGUGACAUCCGGGUUUUCUCUCUAGACAGCUAAGUUCUCUGAUUUGAUCCCUCAGGAGAUGGGGACCCACCUCUCUCAUGGGACACUGCUUCCUCUAACAGAGAAUAGUAAGAGGCUUUAUUUUUACUCUGCUUUCUCUGAACUCCAAGGUGAUAGCCGAGGCUGGCUCAAGGUCAUGGAUCCCAAUAUUCUUGUCCCAUGGUGGUGGCCUUGAGUCUCUCUCCAGGCUGCCAGGCCCCCUAAGCCGCCCUUACCUUGAAGAAGAGAGAUUGCCAGGAUGAGGCCGGCCAGACGCUUCCCCUGCUCCAUGUCGGUCGCUGUCCUUCUCCCGCAGAAGCACUGAGCAACCGCUAGCAGCCAGCCAGCCUGCGCAGUACUCGCCUGGCUC